Polypterus senegalus (gray bichir) is the source of this 3018-nucleotide RNA transcript. It is a transcript of the gene named cytochrome b561 domain-containing protein 1, with no coding region annotated. The record is from RefSeq and is a predicted model, not a curated record. The transcript has 5 exons. Lineage: Eukaryota; Metazoa; Chordata; Cladistia; Polypteriformes; Polypteridae.
GGCUUCGAAGCGCUGUUCAUAAUGCAGUUUGGUACAAAGAGUAAAAAAAAAUUUAAUUAAACACAUACAAUGACUAUAUUAUUGCAUGUAUUAAAUCAGUUCUACAUUACACCUUGUAUGAUCAGCGGCAACACUAAAUAUACUACUAUAUGUAUUAAUGUUUAUUAAGUUAAGGAUUACACCCACCCAUUUCUCCGCCUGCAUUAGCUCAACAACUCAGGGAUAGCGAAUGUUGCACUUGCUCUGCAAAACAAGCCACCCGUCCAAACGAGUGAUUUCAUAAAAUGCCCGGCUGUAGCGCUGAAACGAUGCGUUUCGCUCGGAGAGUGCGCGGAUCAUCCCCGCCUGGCUCGUCGCGCUUGGCGUAGGGGCGGGCACACGGGUUGCCCCGGGCUGCAGGUGAGGCGCGCUUCAUUCCCGGAAGGCCGUGCGUCAGCCACAUACAGGUAGCGGGGUCACCCGAGGUUUCUUCUCUCAGUUGCUUGCUUUCUAUCCUUCCUUCCUCCCUCUAGGAUUUUUUUAAUAGGCGUGUUCUCAGGUAGCCCGGCUGGUUCCACGACCAAAAGAAUGCCGGUCAUCCUCCUGUUGCCCUGCUGAUCGGGCGGGUAGAUGAGGCCUCCUAGAGUUCACCUGGACAGGGGUUUGGACGAAGGCCUGGGAAUGAGCGACUUCUGGCUGUAUGUUUGGCUGCGUAGGACGGCGGUGAUCGCUGCGCACGUGUUGUCGCUUGGCUUCACCAUCUUCAUGAGUCUGCUGUCACGACCAGGCACCAGUCUGUUUUCAUGGCACCCUAUAUGUAUGUCUGUUGCAUUUUGCUUGUGCAUGACAGAAGGCAUCCUACUCUUCUCCAGUGAAGGCUCUCCUUUCUGUUUUCAGUCUACAAAGGGAAAGGUUCGACUGCACUGGGUGCUCCAAGCUGUUGUGGUUAUGUCUAGUGUUACUGGACUGGCAUUCAUUAUAGCUAGCAAGAAUCUGUCAGAGCGGCCUCAUCUCGUAUCUUGGCACAGUCUUGUUGGUGUAGGCACCAUGGUAGCUACAGGGUGUCAAGUUCUAUGUGGCGUCUGCCUUCUGUUUCCAAAACUUCUGAAAAUCACAUCUGUGGCGCGGCUUAAGCUCUACCAUGCUACCUGUGGUCUGGUGACUUACUUGUUGGCCACAACCACAGUUGUCCUGGGCAUGUGCUCAGACUGGUUUCAGGCUACAUUCAAGGGAGUUAUUUGAUAACCACAAGGGGGAACUAGUGAUUGUCCUCAUCUGGCAAGAAGUUUGUUUCUUGGACAGACAGUUCUAACUUGCAGUGGAUACCUGUCACUACAUGACAUGAUUCCUUGGCAUUGAGGGAAGGCAGGUCGAGGGUUCAUUAGAUGUCAGUUCUCAUACACAGAAGAGCCCUCCCCAAGAGUGGUGACUGGACUGAUUUUGUAGUAGCAAGCCAAAGAGCACUAUUAUGUCACACUACAUGAAAGAUUCCUGCAGGGCUUCAUGGGAGUUUCCUGCAGCCUUGUUGAGUUCUGUGGUUGCCACCAGGGGGAGCUGUCGAGGUCUCACAACCCUGCUACAUUGGACUUUCACUACAGUUAGAAGUGAUUCUAGAUCUGGCCAACAAACCACCUGGAGCAGCAUAAAAGGAGCCGCCUCUCUUCACUCUUGGGGAGACAUAGUCGGGUGGAGGUGGAAAGAGGAAGAGAAAUAUCAAUCAAUCAACAUUUAUUUAUAUAGCACAUAUUCAUACAAAAAAUGUAGCUCAAAGUGCUUAAAUAGAAGAAAGAGGCACUGUGUAUUAGUACUGCAGUGAGUAAAGAGGGAAAAGCACUUCCCCAUUUUAAUAAAUGUGUGCUGUGUGGCAAAACUUGUAUCUGUGUCUGUCUGUGUCAUGGUUUAGGUGGCUAGAGUGCCCCCUGGUGGCCAAAAUACUGAAAACACUGCUUUGAUACUUGGCAGUAUUUUGGGUACCCUCUCAGGUAACACUUGGUAUACUCUGUUCAGGUGGCAUGCAGUAGCCCAGCAUGCUAUUGUAUGGCUUUAUAAUGGUUUCCUUAUUUUAGAUCACUAGCUGUAGACUUUUCUGUUUUUGUUUCUUUCUUGUCUGAUCUUCCUUCAUCCCUACUGUUCUCACUUUCCAAGUUCUAGCUUUUUUGCAAGUAAAUGUAAAAGAUUUUAUGAAAUUACAUCCAGAAUUUCUUUACGUUAUAAUUGUGUGUCCACUGGAAGUUACCUGAAGUUGCUUUCCUCAGCUGUUGUGCAGUCUUCGGCUUAUCGCUCUCUUGCUGCUCUGCAGUGUUUCAUUGACUCAACUGAAUUUCUCUGCCUCCUUCAUUCUUACAACACCUGUAGACUGUCAGUUUUCUGCAUGAUCCAAGUGUCAAUAUUUUCAUAUUUUAUACUUGCAGUCCCAAGGCUGACAGUAUCUACAUUUUGAAGACCUCUGUACAGCACAUUAAAAAACCAUAGUCUGUCUCUCUGGGUCAUUUUCUCUGGUGCUUAUCCACCCACAUGUCCUCCAUUCUUACAAUAUCCACUCUUCUCAUGACUCCCCUGCCUUCCAUUACUAUUUAUUGUGGUUGAGUUGAUUUUAAACAAAAUCCUUUUUCUGUGCCUCAGGAUUUUAGUAAAACACUGUGUAAAAACGCAUUAAAAACCCAAGAUGAAAACGAGAACUGUUUACAUUAACCAGAACGCUUACUGAUAUAAAGAGUCUAUAAAGGAUAUCUCAAUCAAGCUCCUUGAGAAUUCUGGCCUUGAAUCAUGGUGUAGAGAAUUAAACCUCAGCCUAGCAAAUAGUUAGAUGACAACCAGAUUGCACUUUUUAAGUUGACUUAUACAAUUAAAACAUGGAAUAGUACAAGCUGUGGCAAGGUACUGAAAACCUAAGGCUGCUGCAAUAUUCCACAAAAACAGCAGGUGGCAGCAAUUCCAUAUUCUUAUUCAAUAUAUAAUUAAGACUUUGUCCUUAAUAUCCAUCCAUUAUCCAACUCGCUAUAUCCUAACUACAGGGUCACGGGGGUCUGCUGGAGCCAA